AUGAGGGAAGGAAAAAGGGCCUUUAAUGGAACUACAGAAGGUAGGAGGUGUAUGAGACAAAAUUCACACUCCCACCAAAGAGGUAGAGAAAAAGCAGCUGGAAGAGGCACUUACUUCUUCAGGUUCCUGAUGAAUCUUUGUUCACAGCAUUUUGGCUCUUUGCUUCGGAUCACUUUGCACCCUCUCAGUGCUUCAGUCCUUUCCAUCCAUUUGGUGACUGUUGUCCAACCCUGCCUACCAAAGCCAUUCCAAGGUGAAUGUGGACAGCAGGUGUCAAUAGCAGAGUUUGCAACAUCCUUUGAAAGCAUUCUCUCCACUCAAAUAAUUGACAGCUUGUAUUGCAAUCACCAUUUAAUAUCAUAAAUAUUGGAAACAUUACCCUGUCAACAUAUGUAUGUUAAUAAUUGCAAUAGGAGGUUUAAGCAUACAUGUGGAGAAAGGUGAUGGAAGAACUCAAAAGUAAUAAGCACUUCUAAUUAAAACUGCCCUUAAAAUAUGACCAAGGACUUCUUUGUUGUUGAAAUAGGAAUCUAGAAGCACCUUUCAUUGUGAAAAAGAUAAAGGAAGUUUUAAUUUCAUUUGAAUGAUUACCUAGCUAAAUUGCAGCUGUUAGAAUUGAUAGUGGUAAUGGAGAAGGCAAAAAUGGUAUAGAUGUUGUGAUAAAAAGAGGGCCAAUCCUGCAGGUGUUAUUAGUAGUGCUAUUUACUGUCAUUAAAUUGAGUGGAAUGUGCAUGUUUUACACCACUAAUAUGUUUAUUCUAGCACAGAACAAAAUGUGGCUAUAUGAUGUUAAUUUUAGUUUAUUAGUUUGAUGUCUCUCUAGGCCACAAAAAAAAAAAAACUAGGAACACCUAAAGCUAUAGGAAUUAUUCCCAUCACUUUACUUUGUGUAUUUUUAUAUUCAAGAGAAAGGAUAGCAGCAAGCAAUUGGCAACAAGCUCUUACAAGAACACAUCAACAUGUCUUUGAUUUCCCUAUAAAGUUUACUAAACAGGAAUGUUGGAUGAGCUGAAGAAUGAAAAUGAACAUGAAAUGAAUUAAAAGAAAAAAGAAUGACAAUGAAAACUGUAUAUGGAAGGAAGCAUACCCACACCUGAUUAAAUACUGUGUUAAAAGUUUGUCCCUACAGCUUCUGUGAUUCCUCAUGUUCUUACCAGUGCAGUACAGAUAUUAUCACUUCUAGACAUACUCAGUCUAGUAAUAUUUGUGAAGCCCUGUGCUUCACUGGAUAAUUUUUGUUUUACCCAAAGUGAACACUCUUUUUGCUGAGUGUUAAUGAUGAAAAAAAUAAAUGUGAAGGAAACAAUAAAGAGGAUAUUUCU
Molecule: long non-coding RNA, 1322 nt
Filed under: Parus major (Great Tit)
Lineage: Eukaryota; Metazoa; Chordata; Aves; Passeriformes; Paridae
Description: lncRNA (ENSPMJG00000011568.1)
Source: RNAcentral